GCCUUCGAAGUGUAGUGGUUAGCACGCUAGGCGCGUAUUCGAGAUGCCCGUGGUUCGAGUCCCGGCGAAAGUA
Molecule: transfer RNA, 73 nt
Filed under: Stegodyphus mimosarum
Lineage: Eukaryota; Metazoa; Arthropoda; Arachnida; Araneae; Eresidae
Rfam family: tRNA
About the family: Transfer RNA (tRNA) molecules are approximately 80 nucleotides in length. Their secondary structure includes four short double-helical elements and three loops (D, anti-codon, and T loops).
Source: Rfam by way of RNAcentral